UACGUAGGGGGCAAGCGUUGUCCGGAAUCAUUGGGCGUAAAGCGCGUGUAGGCGGCUCGGUAAGUCUGCUGUGAAAGUCCAGGGCUCAACCCUGGGAUGCCGGUGGAUACUGUCGAGCUCGAGUCCGGAAGAGGAGAGUGGAAUUCCUGGUGUAGCGGUGAAAUGCGCAGAUAUCAGGAGGAACACCCGUGGCGAAAGCGGCUCUCUGGGACGGUACUGACGCUGAGACGCGAAAGCGUGGGGAGCAAACAGG
RNAcentral lists this ribosomal RNA (253 nucleotides) under uncultured bacterium. RNAcentral describes it as "partial 16S ribosomal RNA". It matches the Rfam family "Bacterial small subunit ribosomal RNA", at positions 524 to 776 of the family's 1533-position model. The record is from RNAcentral.